Molecule: unclassified non-coding RNA, 20 nt
Filed under: Mus musculus (house mouse)
Lineage: Eukaryota; Metazoa; Chordata; Mammalia; Rodentia; Muridae
Description: oocyte_clustered_small_RNA10016
Source: RNAcentral
CUUCAUGGCUGUCUCCUGUG